UACGUAGGGUGCGAGCGUUAAUCGGAAUUACUGGGCGUAAAGCGUGCGCAGGCGGUUUGCUAAGACCGAUGUGAAAUCCCCGGGCUUAACCUGGGAACUGCAUUGGUGACUGGCAGGCUAGAGUAUGGCAGAGGGGGGUAGAAUUCCACGUGUAGCAGUGAAAUGCGUAGAGAUGUGGAGGAAUACCGAUGGCGAAGGCAGUCCCCUGGGCCAAUACUGACGCUCAUGCACGAAAGCGUGGGGAGCAAACAGG
This 253-nucleotide ribosomal RNA is filed under the name uncultured bacterium. Its description in RNAcentral is "partial 16S ribosomal RNA". It matches the Rfam family "Bacterial small subunit ribosomal RNA", at positions 524 to 776 of the family's 1533-position model. The record is from RNAcentral.